GAUGGAAGGACUGGUGGGCAAGAUAUUUGAUGUUGCAUUCCUUCCCGCAAUGAACAGCAUCUUAGGCGUAGGCAUCCCUCUGCCCAAGCUGCUGGAUGCUGACUUCAAUAAUGCUGACAUCGACGUUAUUGAAGAUUUGCUUGUCUUGUCUGCGUGAGCUAAGGAGGAGAGGUGCAAAGAGAAGUAUGAAGACCGAGUAAGACAUCACCUGCCAAACCAUAGAUUCAAUCUUCACAUUACCAGC
Sceloporus undulatus (fence lizard) is the source of this 244-nucleotide long non-coding RNA. RefSeq lists it as uncharacterized. Lineage: Eukaryota; Metazoa; Chordata; Lepidosauria; Squamata; Phrynosomatidae. The transcript is spliced from 3 exons. The record is from RefSeq and is a predicted model, not a curated record.